AAUGCCGGAUGCUCCAACAUGACGCAUGUUCUUUCGGGAAAGAUUCAUCGGUAUGGGAUGGGGUCGCGUCCUAUCAGCUUGAUGGCGGGGUAACGGCCCACCAUGGCUUCGACGGGUAGCCGGCCUGAGAGGGCGACCGGCCACAUUGGGACUGAGAUACGGCCCAGACUCCUACGGGAGGCAGCAGUGGGGAAUAUUGCACAAUGGGCGCAAGCCUGAUGCAGCGACGCCGCGUGCGGGAUGACGGCCUUCGGGUUGUAAACCGCUUUUGACUGGGAGCAAGCCCUUCGGGGUGAGUGUACCUUUCGAAUAAGCACCGGCUAACUACGUGCCAGCAGCCGCGGUAAUACGUAGGGUGCAAGCGUUAUCCGGAAUUAUUGGGCGUAAAGGGCUCGUAGGCGGUUCGUCGCGUCCGGUGUGAAAGUCCAUCGCUUAACGGUGGAUCCGCGCCGGGUACGGGCGGGCUUGAGUGCGGUAGGGGAGACUGGAAUUCCCGGUGUAACGGUGGAAUGUGUA
Molecule: ribosomal RNA, 516 nt
Filed under: Bifidobacterium adolescentis
Lineage: Bacteria; Bacillati; Actinomycetota; Actinomycetes; Bifidobacteriales; Bifidobacteriaceae
Description: bacterial SSU rRNA
Rfam family: Bacterial small subunit ribosomal RNA
Source: RNAcentral